GAUGAACGCUGGCGGCGUGCCUAAUACAUGCAAGUAGAACGCUGAAGGAGGAGCUUGCUCUUCUGGAUGAGUUGCGAACGGGUGAGUAACGCGUAGGUAACCUGCCUGGUAGCGGGGGAUAACUAUUGGAAACGAUAGCUAAUACCGCAUGACAACAGUUAUUGCAUGAUAACUGUUUAAAAGGGGCAACUGCUCCACUACCAGAUGGACCUGCGUUGUAUUAGCUAGUUGGUGAGGUAACGGCUCACCAAGGCGACGAUACAUAGCCGACCUGAGAGGGUGAUUGGCCACACUGGGACUGAGACACGGCCCAGACUCCUACGGGAGGCAGCAGUAGGGAAUCUUCGGCAAUGGACGGAAGUCUGACCGAGCAACGCCGCGUGAGUGAAGAAGGUUUUCGGAUCGUAAAGCUCUGUUGUAAGAGAAGAACGAGUGUGAGAGUGGAAAGUUCACACUGUGACGGUAUCUUACCAGAAAGGGACGGCUAACUACGUG
Molecule: ribosomal RNA, 495 nt
Filed under: uncultured bacterium
Lineage: Bacteria
Description: partial 16S ribosomal RNA
Rfam family: Bacterial small subunit ribosomal RNA
Source: RNAcentral